GACGAACGCUGGCGGCGUGCUUAAUACAUGCAAGUCGAACGGACAGGCUCUGCUGUUGCGUGGUACACGAGUGGCGAACGGGUGCGAAACACGUGGGUACCCUGCCCUUGCCUUUGGGAUAGCUUCAGGUAACUGGGGCUAAUAAUGGAUAGGAGCUCCUGAUGCAUGGUGGGGGUUGGUAAGUUACGGCGGUUGGGGAUGGACUCGCGGCUUGUCAGCUUGUUGGUGGGGUAGCGUCUUGCCAAGGCUUUGACGGGUAGCCGGCCUGAGAGGGUGACCGGCCACAGUGUGACUGAGGUGCGGGCCAGAGUGCAACGGGGGGCAGGAGUGGGGGACUGUGCGAGAUGGGCGGAGGGCUUAUGCAGCAACGCCGCGUGCGGGAUGACUGCUUUCGGGUUAUAACCCGUUUUCGCGUGUGACGAAGCGUGAGUGACGGUAAUGGAUAAAGAAGCACCGGCUAACUACGUG
RNAcentral lists this ribosomal RNA (468 nucleotides) under uncultured bacterium. Its description in RNAcentral is "partial 16S ribosomal RNA". It matches the Rfam family "Bacterial small subunit ribosomal RNA", at positions 28 to 507 of the family's 1533-position model. The record is from RNAcentral.